GUAACAAGAACGGGGUAGGUCAGGCAUAACGCAUUUGGCCAAAGGCCCAAUCCUAUAACACCAACACGACUUCACAUGCCCAUGAAUACCCAGCCUAUACAGCCAGUUCAGAUGCCUGGACUGCGUAAAACCCCAUGAACAAACCACACAAAACGACUUUGGCAUCGACUACACACCAUCACGAAUUCACCUCAAACGAUUCAAAGAAUUCGCUGCAAAAUCCUGUGCGAACCUACCAGAUUUGUGGCGUGGCGUUGCGUCGUCAUUGAAUAUGACAGGGAAUCGUCGUUGUCGAUAUUGAUUUAUGAAGGAUGCCGAAGGAUGCACCCUCAUGACUGAUAAAGAGCUUGGAAUCGCGAUCGAAUUGAGGAGAGAUUCUCCGUGAAAAGGUUUCGGUGAAGAGUGCGCGAUGGGAAGCCUCGAAUCGAAUCUUCUAUUCGUGUUGUCUUCCAUGUUCCGGUGCGGUAUUCAGUUGGAAGUUUGUUGGUUGUCGCCCGUUGCUGCGCUUUCUGCGUUGCGUUUCGAUUUCCGCUUGCAGCAUUGAGAUGCAGGUGGUGUGGUGGUUUGAGCUCCACCAAUUGAAGCUUCAACAUGAAGCUUCAAUGGUGUUUCACUAUCAGAGCUUUGGUGAGGGAAAGAGAAGACGAUUGAAAAAGUGAAACAGAAGGUUGAAUAGUGGAGUAGAAAGAUUGCAGAAAUGAAAAAAAAAACCUCCUCAGAAUGAGGCUUGGAGGGCUUAUAUAAAGCGCUUAGCCUAAUCGAUUCGGGAAGGUGGUUGAUCGAGGUCAGUUCGGGUAGCCUGUCAGUUAAUAACAGUUGGGAAAUUGGUUUGAUUAGUUUGUUAACUGGGCUUUUUAACUUUUUGCCUAUGGUUUUCUUGUAGAUAACCUUGAGUGAGAAUUGUUAUAUCGAUCGAAACUCUAGGUUGAAGUUAGUUGGUGAAAUAAGAUCCAAACAUUAUCCAAUUAAAAUUCCAUUUGAACGUAUUUGGGUAUGAGUGAAAAACUGAAAACCUGUUAUUUCUGACUUUUCCAAACUCAUGUGAACAAGUUAGAAUUCAUUCUUUUUUUGGAACUACACUUAAUCCUCCUUUGUUGAUGCAGUAUCGUUUAGCUCAUCUUUUAUCGAGGGAACCAGGCCAGCUGCAGAACCGGACAACAACAGGCAUAUAGCCACUGGCACUAAAGCUAUCAUAGUGAUCUUCCAAUCAGGUUAUCACCUUAGAUGGUAUCUCAUCCGGUGUCCCAGUUUCUGCAAGUAGCACCCUUUACCACUAAUGAGCUUAAUGGGUUUGAGAGUGGACUUGAAGGUUUUGAAGGCUUUUACUGGUCAUUUUGUCCCGUAUGCAGUUCAACGGUGUUUGGUUUUUUUGCAGUUGCACCUUCGCUGCAGCUUGUGAUGAUGUGUACUAUCAUGUCUGGAGAUGUUAGUUUGGAUGGUUAAAUGCAGGGCUGAACUGGUCAUGUUUCUUCUAUCAAUGACAUUGCAGGUGAAUCUGAGUUAUGUGUCGUUGCCAGCUUAAUUUCCAAAUGCAGUUUGAAGUUAAUUAGGCUAGAUAUGGCAAUGCAAUGUGGACUAUUUCCUUGUACGGUGGGUGUAGCCGGAAAUUCAUGGUCAUCAAGCUAUUGACAAGCUAGAGAUCAAUUAACAAGAGUCGCCUCCGCGUUUUUAUUAUUUCCAAGGGAAAAGGGAAAAAGUACGAACAAAACCCAAUUAGUAAGAAGUUUUAAAGUAAAAACUAAUAAAAAUUAUAGAUCACAGGUAAGGGGGUUGGUGACACAGAUGGAAGGUGUUAGCACCCAAAGUGUCCUAGUUACUCCUAGGGAACCCUUUUUGUGUGCAUAUGUAUUUUGUACAAAGUGAUAUUUACAAACAAAUAGAAUGGGGGAUGAGAAAAUAAUUCAUUAA
Lathyrus oleraceus (garden pea) is the source of this 1908-nucleotide long non-coding RNA. RefSeq lists it as uncharacterized. Lineage: Eukaryota; Viridiplantae; Streptophyta; Magnoliopsida; Fabales; Fabaceae. The transcript is spliced from 4 exons. The record is from RefSeq and is a predicted model, not a curated record.